This 330-nucleotide ribosomal RNA is filed under the name uncultured Pseudomonadota bacterium. RNAcentral's name for it is "bacterial SSU rRNA". It matches the Rfam family "Bacterial small subunit ribosomal RNA", at positions 568 to 898 of the family's 1533-position model. Lineage: Bacteria; Pseudomonadati; Pseudomonadota. The record is from RNAcentral.
CGCGUAGGCGGACAGUUUAGUCAGAGGUGAAAGCCCAGGGCUCAACCUUGGAAUAGCCUUUGAUACUGGCUGUCUUGAGUACGGGAGAGGUGAGUGGAACUCCGAGUGUAGAGGUGAAAUUCGUAGAUAUUCGGAAGAACACCAGUGGCGAAGGCGACUCACUGGCCCGUUACUGACGCUGAGGCGCGAAAGCGUGGGGAGCAAACAGGAUUAGAUACCCUGGUAGUCCACGCUGUAAACGAUGAGUGCUAGUUGUCGGGCGGCAUGCCGUUCGGUGACGCAGCUAACGCAUUAAGCACUCCGCCUGGGGAGUACGGUCGCAAGAUUAAA